This 245-nucleotide unclassified non-coding RNA is filed under the name plant metagenome. Its description in RNAcentral is "partial contains small subunit ribosomal RNA, internal transcribed spacer 1, and 5.8S ribosomal RNA". The record is from RNAcentral.
UUUCCGUAGGUGAACCUGCGGAAGGAUCAUUAAAGAGUUAGGUUCUUCGGGCUCUCCCUCCAAACCUUUGUUCACCUACUAUGUUGCGUUAGCGAACCCGCCUAACGACCGUCACAAGUUGGGGGAAGACCUACAACCUUUUGGCACGUGUCUGUCAAUGGCCCUAUUCAAAUUUUUGAUAAAUUUUGAUAUCGGAGUUAUAAAAUUAAUAGUUAAAACUUUCAACAACGGAUCUCUUGGUUCUG